GCCGGCGUAGCUCAAUGGCAGAGCAACUGAUUUGUAAUCAGUAGGUUGUCCGUUCGACUCGGAUCGCCGGCUCCA
This 75-nucleotide transfer RNA is filed under the name Armatimonadetes bacterium CG07_land_8_20_14_0_80_59_28. Its description in RNAcentral is "tRNA-Thr". It matches the Rfam family "tRNA". From Rfam's summary of the family: Transfer RNA (tRNA) molecules are approximately 80 nucleotides in length. Lineage: Bacteria; Bacillati; Armatimonadota. The record is from RNAcentral. RNAcentral also lists the same sequence under 1 other name.